CUAUGAGGGUCACAAAGCACUGGCACAGGCUGCCCAGGGAGGUUGUGGAAUCUCCUUCUCUGGAGACUUUCAAGGCCUGUCUGGAUGAGUUCUGUGAUCUGUGCUAGAUUGUAUGGUCCUGCUCUGGCAGGGGGGUUGGACUCAACGAUCUCCUUGGGUCCGUUCCAACCCUAAUAACCUGUGAUCUUGUGAAGGUGGUGCAGUCUCAAAUAGUGUGUAAACAUGGCAUUUUGGGACAUGUUUUAAUGGCCAUGGUGGUGUUGGGUCAAUGGUUGGACUCAAUGAUCUCAGAGGUCUUUUCCAACCAAAACAGCUCUGUGGCUCCAUAAAGCUGUGAACUGGAACAUGGCUUUACUAAAGGUACAGGAAGAGCCAAAGUAAGUUUUUGUUAACUGUGAGAGGGUUAGAACACAGUGGAUUUAUUUUUAAAGGAUAUAUAUAUGUGUAUACACACAUCCUCCUAAUUCUAGCACAUUUCUAGCACUUUGGUUUUGUUUGUAGCAAAUGUUUCCACCAACAUUAGGAGAUGGCUCCCUACCAGUGGUCCAUUACCUGCAUACAACCAGCACUGUGGUAAUUCAUAGACUCACAGAAUCAGUCAGGGCUGGAAGGGACCACAAGGAUCAGCCAGUUCCAACCCCCCUGCCAUGGGCAGGGACACCUCAUACUUGAUCAGGCUGGCCACAGCCUCAUCCAGCCUGGCCUUAAACACUUCCAGCGAUGAGGCUUUGACCACCUCCCUGAGCAACCUGUUCAGGGUCUCACCACCCUCAUGUUGAAGAACUUCCUAACAUCAAGAACUUGUUCCUAACAUCAUAAUUCAGUGUAUUGAUAAAGAAAACAACAACCAAAUAACAAAGGUGAUCUGAAAGCCCUUCUGCUGGCUUGGCUGCCACCAGGAGUCACAUUGCAGAUGUGCUGAGCUCACAUUCCCUUGGUUUUGAUGUGCUAGAAACACCUGCCUUGGGGUACCAGAAAUACCAUGGGAGCCAUUUAACUCUUCCCUGAAGGCUUUCCCCCCUGAUUGUAGCUUCUUAAGAUGCAAUGAGUAAUAUGUUGGAGAAUGUAAUUAAAGUGUUUUUCAAUCAUUCCUGACAACUCUUCUAAUGCAGGAUAAAGCUCCAUAGCGUCUGUGGUUGUACUUCAACCUGACGAAAGCCCUGGAUGGAAACUUCUACAGUAGGUAGUGUUUACUCUGGCAGUGUGUCAGCAGACAAUGUCUACUGCUUUUAUUGCUCUGUGGAAUCGAAGGUUUGAAUUUUGCUCCGUCCUGAACCAUUUAUUGUCUUGAAAUUGGCAGCAGCAACACCCAGCUGGAAGCUGGCGUGGUUUGUGUUUGCGAACAGGCUGAUCCAUGGGAAACAAUUGAGCAGACAAACCAACUUCUUCAGGAAUUGAACCCAAUCUGUGCUUGGGCGUGAGGCAUUGGAGCCUGAGGCAGCUAUUAUUUGGGAAAAGGCCCAUAAAAGGACUUUUUAAGGCAUGGACUUUGUGAGUCUUAAGGAUGAUAUUCUUAGGCUGCCUUUAGUUCUGCCUCCCUUUUGCGUAACCCAGUGGACUUUUAUAACAAAACCUUCCACGUAAGGGGGGCUGGGGUCCAAAGCUCUGAGCUGGAAGUCAGAACAGAGCUUGGUGUCUGGCCAAGCCAUUGAGCUGCUUAUGCUGUUCUUCUGCCUCCCACCUUUUUUUUUUCUCUCUGUCCCUGGGACAGGAACUGCCAUUUCCUAUCUGUUCCCCUACUGCACAGGACUGAGAAAUUCCUCCCUGUAAGCAAAAGAGAGAGGCAGAAAGAUACCCGGCAAUAGCUGAGUGCUCAGCACCCAAAACAAGCACAGCACAAAGACAUUCUUCUGUAUGCUGAGAUACCCAGUCCCACCAACUCUCACAAUCCUGUGAAUGUCAUGGGAUCUGAUGUUUGCUUAAUUCUCUGCCUGAUGGUAAUCGAGGAACCACAUGAUAAUCUCAGCUUCACUAACAUCGCAGUUCCAUUUCCAGCUCUGUGGGUGCUGAGAAAAUGUGAAGCGAGACAGCCUUAAAUCCUGGAGAUACACAAAAUCAUCUGAUGGUCAGUCUGACCCUUUAUUCACUCCUCCUAGGUCAGCAUGCCUAAUGGCUCUUGGCAGCUUCUUAAACACAGCCACACAAGGAUUGAUUUGUUGUGAAAUGUCCGGUAACAGUCUUUGCUCUCACCUAAGUCAACCACUUUUAGGUUGGGUUUCUUUUCCCCCUCAUUUAUAGGUCCAAAAGUGUGGGGUGGUGGAGUUCCCAUCCCUGGAGGGAUUUUAAAGAGAUGUGCUGAGAGACAAGGUUUAGUGGUGACUUGGUGCUGCUGGGUUAAUUGUUGGACUUGAUUUUAAAGGUCUCUUCCAACCAAAACGACUCAAGGAUUCCUCUUCUGAUCUCUUUUGGACCACAGACUCUUCUGGACAGAUCUUUUUUUAGCAUACCCAACCCACCUUUGUAACCAAUCUCUGUUUACUUUAUACAUCCCUUGGAGCAGGGACUGGGAUUCAUUUUUUCCCUGUCCCAGGCUGGUCCAGAGGAGAUGUGACAAAGGGAGGAAGAAGACACCAAGUAUCCUCCCAGCUGUGCAUAGGCCACGUGCCAGCGACCUACAGCCUGGACAACCAUAGAGCUUUAAGAUGUUGCCUUUAACCAUCUUUCAGAGUUUGAAUGCUUGAUAUUUUCAGGAAGAAAUGUGAGAAAGAAAGAAAAACAGAAUAGUUUCCGAUCACCAAAUAUUUGGGUGAACUGGGGAACAAAGUGCCAGUGGAGUCCUGUCUGGGCUCUCCUCUUUGCUUGGAUCCUCUCCCACAUCAGGAGGUGAAGGCAGUCAUUUCUCGGGGUGACUACGCACUUCCAGGAAUGAUUCCUGGCAGAAAUUUGGAGGCAGGACUUCACAUAAAAUAACUGGAGUGCCCUGGAAUUCAUCUUCCUCCUCAAAACCUCUUCUCAAGGCUUGUUCCUGCUGUGGCAUAGAGAAGUUGACGACACUGGAACGGUCUUGUGUUACUGAGACACAGAGGGGUAGCUGAAGACUAUGAUAAAUCUUCUGUGAGCAAUCUCCUCCUUGUGAUGGACACAGAUCUCAGCUUUCCAUGCAUCAUGCAGUCCAGUUCUCUAAUCAUCUGUGUGGCCCUCUGCUGAACCUGCUCCAAUUUGCAAAUUCACCCCUGCUG
Long non-coding RNA from Pogoniulus pusillus (Red-fronted tinkerbird), 3179 nucleotides. RefSeq lists it as uncharacterized. The record is from RefSeq and is a predicted model, not a curated record. The transcript is spliced from 4 exons. Lineage: Eukaryota; Metazoa; Chordata; Aves; Piciformes; Lybiidae.